GUGGGGUAUGUUGGUGGGGACAGACGAGGAAGGAUGGCGAAGAAAGCGAGGGAAUAGUGUGAUCAUGUUCGAUCGUACAUUAAAGUUUGAGCACAAGCUCAUUGUGGAUUAAAAACUAAGUCUCAUCUUUAAGAUUCAAACAACACAGGUUGUAGAAAUGCAAAUGAUUGGUCAAGAGUAGAAGACCUACCCCUCUCCUGCCACUCCCGACGUCUUGGUCCAUAGGUCGCGUUCCGGGCGGAUGGUGGUGGAAGUUCGGCGUCGUCUGUGCAUCAGUGGCUUUUAGUAGCCUAGAUUUACAGAAUAUCUUUUUAAAGAGAGAUCGCGAGACAAACGAAGAUGACUGGUGAAAAGAUCAUCAGAUUAGGAAACCUGCAUCCUGACCUGCCUGCCCCUUGGAUUCUCCUACCGCCUAGCCCUGCCUGUACUGUCGCUUUUGUGGACUGAUCACCCGGUAUUCCGACCUGCCUGCCUGUCCCUGGAUUCUCCUACCGUCUGCCCCUGCCUGUACUGUUGCCUUCGCGGACUGAUCACCCGGUAUCGUGACCUGCCUGCCUGCUUCUGGUUUUUCCUCUCUGCCGAGCCCUGCCUGUACCUUUGCCUACGUGGACUGAUCUCCUGAUUUCUGAACCUUA
Long non-coding RNA from Esox lucius (northern pike), 635 nucleotides. The record is from Ensembl. Lineage: Eukaryota; Metazoa; Chordata; Actinopteri; Esociformes; Esocidae.